GCAGCAAUCACGCGCGCUAUGCGGGGGCCCCGGGGGCCCUUAGGAGAACUGCGUGGUCAAGAGGGCAGAGGACUUGGCGGGGCAAAGUUUCCCGCGGGCGCAAUCCCGGAGGCGGCAGCAAAAGGACAGGGCCGGCCGCGUGGAGAUCCUCUGAGCCCCAGGCCUGCCCUCUCGUGCUGCGGCUUCUGGGAGCCGGUGUCCCGCAGCCGCGGAUCUGCCCGUGGAGGGGCGACGGCAGGUGCGGGGACCGGACCGCCCUCCCGCCGAGGUGACGACCAAUGGGGAUCCGGGCCGGCGAGGCUGGGCCGAGACUCAGCCCGACGCGCCGCCCACUCUGGGCUGGCUCGGGAUUCGGGGCGCCAGGCGCAUGGAGCUGACCGGGGAACAGCGCGUCUGGUCCCCGCGCCCGCAGCCCGGGAGUGCGAAGGUUGGCCUCCGAUGCUGCGGAGGCGAGGUGGGCGACGCAACCUCAGGACGCCGGGCCGUGGGGAGGGGGAGGGGCGUAGCGUAAAGAGCCAGGUUGGAAUCGGGGUUCGGAGGACGCAGACCGCAGAGGCAACCUCAUCGAGACGAGCAUUUGCAUGCGGUACGCAGGUCAUUGAGUCACCGCGGCAGCGUCCUCGUGCGCGGCUGGAGAAUCCUCCGUGAAAGCGGAGCAAGGUCAGCCGGGCAGACCUUCAAGGACGGCGCGCGCGGCCCCUGCAUGCUAAUGGACUGAGGGACUGUCCCUGGGGCCUUGACUUCCAACUCUGGCUGAGCAGAAAUUCAGGGUCUGCCGUCCCGUUCCCCCACCCCACCGUGCACUAUCCCUACCCCCGCCGCUACCCUCUCACCAUCCCAACAUCUGCAGCUCGCGGCCUUUUGUCAAUAACCCCAUUGUCACCCAGAUAGUAGGACUUUGUCUCAUCCUUUGGAGCUAUUCAUAGACAGUAGGUCAACAGCAGGCCGCCUUCGGGUACUACGGUUGCCCAAAGCUGUAAGAAGUCACUGGGUCCAGCAGUGAGCACUCUGUGCUUCAGUGUAAGCUGGGGAAACCGUCCCCAGAGAUGCAACGGGAAGCCGUGCUAUCACAGAGAUCCUUACCUGAAAAAUGCCACCCUUACAGGGUUCCUUACAGCCAUCCCGACCCUGCGUAGGCUUGGGAGUCCACUACUAAGCGAUCCACUACUAAGGCGCCGUUCCCAGAAUAUGCUAGAACACUCCAGAGGUUCCAGAGUCAGGGCUGCUUUACACCGAACUUGACAAAACUUGAAUCACAGCAAGAAACGCAGCAAAGGUUUAAAAGUUAACAUUUUUGGCCCAUAGCUGGCCCUCUGUAUGCAUAACCAGGGCGAGGUGCAUUCAAGAAUGUCAGGUUGUGGGAGUUGGUGACUGGGAGGCAAUGAGUGGGCAGUGAGUGCGAUGUAAAGUGAAUAAGUAAAAAGUAAAUUUAAAAAAAAAAAAGGCGAGAGAUAGCCAUCUCUUCAGGCACAUUCCUGGGGUCAAUUCCGCAGGAUGGAAACACUCAGAGAAUCUGGUUACAGUUUAGUUCUAGGAACCUAAAUUGACUUUCAGAUCUGUCGCUAUUCAACCAUAUGGAAGAGCUUUAUAAAACGGGGUGGCUGACCCAGGCUAACCCCUUCCUCCGGUACUGUCACCUUGUUUCCUUUCAUUCUCCCUCACCAGCGGGUACCAUUCUGAGAACUGUCUUUGGAUGUAAGCUUCCCUGGAGAAAUGAACAAACCGUAUUACAGUAAUGAAUCCAAGUUAUUUCAUGAGACUUUUAAUUAAAGUGUAGUACAUUUACUAAACGAGUAUGGAGCAUCGAUAUCUGAGUCGCUGCAUUUUCAUAAGCUGAGCACGGUGAUGUGACCAGAAAAUGGCUCAGGAGUCUUCGUCACCCCCCUGGAUCUCCUCGUGCUCCUUUAUGGCCUCUGCACACCCAAUGGUUCUGAGGGUCAAACUCUAUAGGCAUCAGGUUUGCAAAGCCAGGGCUUUUACCCACUAAGCCACCUCACAGAGCCUCCUCUGACUUCCAAUACCAAACUAAACGCGUUUGCUGUUCGUACAUUUCCUGUAAAUGUAAAUGUGUCUGGUUUCCCUUGCUCACGGUCAGCUGUGAAGUCACCCAUGUCAUUGUUCAUGGAAAGGGGGACUCAUGUUCUCACACACACACCUUCCCCCGGGUCACUCAGCUUGAGUGUUAGUUAGCACAGGUGCUGCUGCACAUACGGGUUUCUGUAUGUGAUCAGCUGGCCUCUCUCUCUCUCUCUCUCUUUCUCUCUCUCUCUCUCUCUCUCUCUCUCUCUCUCUCUCUCUCUCACUCUCUCUUGGAUCAGUGGUUGUUCUCUAUGGCCCUGAUCACCGGUCCUUGAAGAGAACUGGACUCUGCCUUGGAGGUGAUUUGAAUCAUGAAAGGGAUUGAUUCAAGACAGCACUUGCUUGCUGAUGGCUUUGAAGAUAGAGGGAAGCUCUUGGCAAAGAGCUCAGAUGUCCUCUCAGAGCAGAGAUUGGCUCCUAGCCAAGAGCCAAGAGCCGCACCAAAAAAGAGUGAAUUCUCACAACAACCUCAAGAAGCUUCAAAGAGGGUCCUGAGCUCCAGCUGCCCUGACCUUGAUUUCAGUCUUUGAGACUCAUAAAAAAAAAAAAAAUGAGACCCCAUGGGGCUGGAGAGAUGGCUCAGCAGUUAAGAACACCGGCUGCUCUUCCAGAGGACAUGGGUUCAAUUCCCAGCACCCACAUGGCAGUUCACAACUGUAACCCCGAUUCCAGGGGAUCCAACAUGCCCUCUCAGAUAUGCCUGCAGUCAAAACACCUAUGCUCAUAAAGUAAGUCAUUUUAAAAAGCAUAAAAUUUAUAAAGAGAGAGAGACACCCUAGCAACACAGCUUGAAGCUGUAUGUGUGCGCCUUAUGAUACUAAAUGUGUAGUCCUUUUGCAAUGGAACAAAAUGUAUACAGUGCAAAGUUAGAGAUUGUGCAAUCUUUAUGAUGUACAGGACUGCAGCAUAGCUUUUUGCUUUUUGUUUUUAAGACCUUAAUAGGACCCAGUGUGUCUGUUAGGCAAGCAUUAUACUACCAUACUACUACAUGGCCACAUUAUCACUAUUACAUGGCCACACUAUCACUACUACAUGGCCACACUAUCACUACUACAUGGCCAUCACUAUCACUACUACAUGACCAGUGCUAUCACUACUACAUGGCCAGCGCUAUCUCUACUACAUGGCCAUCACUAUCACUACUACAUGGCCAGCGCUAUCACUACUACAUGGCCACACUAUCACUACUACAUGGCCACACUAUCACUACUACAUGGCCACACUAUCACUAUUACAUGGCCAGUGCUAUCACUACUACAUAGCCAGUGCUAUCACUACUACAUGGCCAUCACUAUCACUACUACAUGACCAGCACUAUCACUACUACAUGGCCAUCGCUAUCACUACUACAUGGCCAUCGCUAUCACUACUACAUGGCCAGCGCUAUCACUACUACAUAGCCAGUGCUAUCACUACUACAUGGCCAGCACUAUCACUACUACAUGGCCAGCACUAUCACUACUACAUGGCCAUCGCUAUCACUACUACAUGGCCAGUGCUAUCACUAUUACAUGGCCAGCACUAUCACUACUACAUGGCCAGCACUAUUAUUUCUACUGUUGACACACAUCUGGCAGCUGCUGCCACAAUCCAUUCCAAGCCUUCUCUCUGAUAGAUGCAUGCAUGCGUGCAUGUCAACUGGGCAUCCUCGUUUGGAAGAGAAAUUGUUCACUCAGAUAAUGUGUGGAUAUUCAGCUUCAGCGACUACUGCCAAAUGGUUUUCUGAAAGGGACAUAUUUUUAAGUAGAUAUUUGUCUCGCCAUCGCCAUCGCCAACCGAGGUGACAUGAGCAUCACCUUCUGACCUAACAGGGAAAAGAAGAGCACGGGGGUCACCGAGAGACAACAGCAGCCCCAGACGUCCUUACUCUCUGUUACUAGCAUGGAUCUGCAGGAAAUGAGAUUGGUGCAGGUGAUGGGCACAACUGAGGCUUUGUGACAACAUGUAAGGGGCGGGUCUCCAUCACUUGAUACUCUGCGGAAAGGCCAGGAAUAAUCUGGUACAUGUCUGCUGACACUGCUCCUCUAACCCAAUGGCAUUUGAAAUCCGAUUUCUUUCAGAUCUAAUCAAAGAGUUAUAUUUAACCCACUAGUUGCAAGUCUAGGGGAAUCAGAGACCUAAGGUCAUGAAAUGAAUAAGUUUGAAAACGUCGAUGCUAUGAACAGUGCAAAGCCGAAUGAUACUCUAGGCCGAUAAAGCUCUGGUCGUAGAUCUGCAGCUAACAGUCGGAAGGACUUAGCAGACAAAAGAGUAAACACGUGGCUAAGUGAUCGCAAUGCCAGAUUCGGGCGAACACCAUUUUAUAUUGUAAUUGCCAGGAAUGGGGACAGCUGCAUCAUUGUUUAAAACACACACUCAUGCACAAUUAAGCCGGGAACAAAUGUCAACAUUGGCACAAUCUGCUAAAUUACUGAUAACUGAUGGGAAUUACUCAUGCCGCGAGCAUUGUCUCCAGUAUAAAAUGGAACAGCCUGAAAGGAGGAAGGAACUUAGCAGUUUCUGUGGGCUUCUAGAAGCUGGCUUUUAUUUCAUGCGGCCCAACCACGGCCUGCCAGAUUAUGUAAGUGAUAUUCCAUGCAUGUGCUCAAGGCAUGUGUGAUAAGUGUGUGCUGCUCUUGUGCCUCCUUACAUUUGUGUUAACGAGUUAGACCUUUGAAGGCUGCUCUUGGCUUCCGGAGAGUGUUUGUGACGAAAGCAUCGGUUACCAUGUGAGCACAAAUGCUCCAGUUACAGCCUCACAAUCUACAGAGGCUGGGCUAACAACCUGAGUUCUGGUCCUGGGUUUUACAUCAUCCAUCCUGAUAUUUAAUCACUUAGCAUUGGGUACUGGAGCUAUGAUUUCUACCCCUUGUUCAUUGCCCCUAUGAAGUACAUAGACAUCAUUUCUAAUCCUGAACCUUCCUGCAAUGCCACCUCCAACCCAGGAAGCUCCUCCUUCCCACCUUCCAGCCGUCAGCCAACACAGCAGAGUGCAAAAAAGGUUCUGGCCCAUCUCAAGUUUGCCACAUUCUUGUAGCUAGCCAGGCACAGGCUGGCUGUGGGAUAAGGUCAUUUGGGUCCUGCUUAGAUGAUGUGGGCGCUAAAUGGAAUGCCAAACUUCCUUCACUCAUCUUAAAGACUGGGUCCUGGGAAGGAAAGAUGGCGUCAGUUUGUGCCUUCGCAGGAGAUUAGCGUCCAGUGAGGAAGUCGGGUGGACAAGCCUUUAGGAUAAGCCAGUGGGAGUGGCUGGGAGGGGUGGUGGGACUGCACAGAAGGUCUGUCUGGAGGAAGUGACUGGGGCUUGCACAGGAUGGGAAAGGAUGCUCAUUCAGGUGCCGACAAUGCUCUAGGUGAGAGCAUGAGGUGAGUAGAGGCUCCAGCAGGGGCUGUGUCAAUGCUGGCUCCAUGCACCUUAGAGACAAGGUUGGUGGGUGAGCCUGAGGCAGAACCUUGGGAGCUGGGACUCUACCCAUGGACUACUGCAAAACUGCAUCUUUGCUAUCCAUGCUUCAAGCUGAUGGACCCUUGUCUGAGACAUGGAAGGCUCUUAGUCUUCUAGUCCCUACAGGCAUUGGGCCUCACUCCUGGCAUUCAGUCCCUCGUCCUAUCAGCAGGCAGUACUAAGCAACCUAAGGCUCCAUCCUUUGCCUUCUUCCAUGGAAGCAGGAGAAGAGGAGUGAAAUAUGAUCAGUGUUUUGUAAAAGCUGUCACGUUAUUAAGUGUCUCAUCAUUCAGUUCAUUUGAGAUCCAUGGCAGGAGGUUAAGCGUGGCUAGGGAUGGUCCUCGGAAGAAUUACACAGUUCCUAGAGCUUGUGUAUGCUGUGCACUGCCCCUGCCUUCUGGGACUCUGUCCUCCAGAUGGCUGGUACAAGUCGAUGCUGUUCUCUGCUCUUCCAGUCUCCCCUCUUGGGAGAGACUCUGAGAAGUCUCAUCUAAUGCCUUGAUGGAGAGACUGAAGCUAGAGUAUCAUCUGAGAACGUCGUCGUCGACGUCGCAUCCCAUUCGAAUUGUGUUCCCAGCGCUGUAGAGGAACACACACUACUGACAUCCUAAUCACAGCCUCGGGUACUUUCAGCCACUGCGGCUGGUUUCCCCAUGGAACACAUACUUGAUUUUCUAACAGAACUAAAGGGAAUGGGAACAGAAUUUGCUGUUCAGAAAAUUUCUUGCCUCUUACGAGCCAAUGCUCCAGACCGAUGUGCUCUGCCUGAGAACCUGAGCAGAGGCCCCAGUCAGUGACAUGUGUGGUCAUCAGUUUGACAGUCGGGCUAUGACAUGAGUUUACCCUGACUCAUUCUCACGAGCGAGCCAAGUGAACAAUGAAAAAUAACAGGAACCGGCAUGAUCUCAAAAGGCCAGAUGCUAAGUGUCACACAAUUCAUGAAGCAUAGUUUCCAUAGCCAGUGUUUCACUAAGUUUCUCUAAUGUGGAAGCAUGGCCAACCCACAAGUAGAGCUGGCCUGUGGGCUGUGUCGCAGGCUCCACUCCACAGCGGAAUAUGCAGAACCUGUGCACAGACCUAGCCUGGACAAUACAAAAGGCCUUCCCUUGGUUUAUACAUUGUCUCCACAAAGGCUCGAUGAAUCAUAACAUAUGAACCUAUUGUCUGCUACCAACCCGUCAGAUUUAUUUACCCUUGUGUUGGACCUGGAGCUCACGGUAUGACACUUAUAUGCAUAAAUGACCCUCUGACUGUGACCUGCAGUCUCAUAAUACUUGUCUCUGGUCACCAUGGGUUACAAAGCAAGUGUUCUUUUGGUUGUCUGAUAUGACCCCAUCUUCCUCCUUGGAGACAAUAGACUCUUUGGGUCCUGAAGACCAGUGUCAAGCCGCAGAGCACGAGCCACAGGGAAAUUAAUUAGUACAUUCGGUGUGGUAGAUACUUGUGAUUCUGGGAAGUCAAUUGAGGAAGUGCAGAAAGAGACUGAGAGACUCUCACGUGCGCGGUUAUAAUCAUCAAGUUCAUGGUGAGGUAAUAAGCCAGUGUGGCCUCCUUGCCUAGGGUAGAGACAAAUUUCUUUGUUGACUGAGUGCCUUGAUGUUCGACUCCAAAGGCUGUGACAAGGCUGGAGGAGGUGGCCGGGUGGUGUCGCACAGCCUGGGGAGCACUGAGAACCGUGGCGCAGGAAUAAAAGCAGCUUGUCAGGAUCAAAUGUGACCUUAGAUGGGGGAAGUCUUCUCACUAUUACACACUCAGCGAAAGGGUGACAUUGGCCAGGUGUCCACUGUUCUCCCCUGUCCCCUCCAGCUUCUCACUCAAGCUCUCUGAUCUCUGUCCGACUCUUCAGUGGUCGCAGUCCAGCCCGAACUGUGGCUGCUUUUCUUCCACCAAAACCUUGCUGCCAUGGGUCUCGCCAUCCCACCUUCUCGGCCAGGUCAGAAGCCUGCUGGGGCAUAUGGGCGGUGGGCAGGACGCAGGCUCAAGUGCCAAGCCUGGUGCUGCCACGGACUGGCUGUCUGUAUCAAUCAGUUAACACUAGACUUGAGGAACUUUGGAAUUUUACCUGAAUAUCUUCAGAUUCUUAGCAGAUAUCAUUUGCAUAGAUGCAAACAAGAGCCGCAUGAAUUUGAGAGCAAAUUUAAAAUACAUUAGGACUCAAUAAUCGCAUGAUGUUCAAAAUUACAAUAGGACUCAAUGAUUCUUUUCUUUGUAACCUUUGUAAAAAGUAGAACAUAUGCUCCAAAGAGGACAUCAAAUCAAUCCUGAUGUGCGGCUCUCUGUUAAUAAUCACAGCAUGAAGAUGACCAUGUAAGAAAAACAAUGAAGGAGAGAAACCGCCCAGCACCUGCGGCCCCUCGUCUUCCUCCAGGCUCAGGUGCCAUAUUGAACUCUUUCAUCUCUGCUACUCUUCCGGGCCCCGUGUCUUCUGUGGUACACCCUGGGCCACCUCAGGAAACACACAGUGGAAAGAGCAUGUCCUUUGGGUCCUACCUCCAAAAGUCUCUCUCGCCUCUCCCACUCACUAGUUUUGAAGGUCUGAUAAGAUGUAUUAUCUCCCUAUGGGUCUCUAAGCACAGUCCUGGGGAACCACAGGACAGGGAGUAGCCAGUGAACUUUCCCAUACAUGCUCUGAGGACCUCUAAAUCCCUGUAUGGGAAGUCACUGAGUUUGGUUCACAGGUUGCCUCUGUGAUUCCCACGAGGGAGGGAUGGUUAGUCUGGUCUCAAACCCUAGUCAUGACAGGUUGGAAGCUGUUUUGGAGCUCUGGUGCUGUUGAGUGUGACCCAGAGGUGACAAGACCAAGGACGGGAUUCAGAAUUACCUAGAGUCCCAAAGACAUCUGAAUGCAAGCUUGGGCCAGAGUGCUGGUCCUUAAAAGAGAUUAUCUUCAUUAAUAUUUAUCUCAGUCUUGCUAGGAUGUUUCCUAAACAGACAUAUAAAUGCUAGCCUUAUGACACUUGCUAAUAAAAACCAAAUCCUUUGGCUUGA
This is a long non-coding RNA of Mus musculus (house mouse), 8488 nucleotides long. RefSeq annotates it as predicted gene 7276. NCBI's taxonomy places the organism in Eukaryota, Metazoa, Chordata, Mammalia, Rodentia, Muridae. The transcript has a single exon. The record is from RefSeq and is a predicted model, not a curated record.